AUACGUAGGGUGCGAGCGUUGUCCGGAAUUACUGGGCGUAAAGAGCUCGUAGGUGGUUUGUCGCGUCGUCUGUGAAAUUCCGGGGCUUAACUCCGGGCGUGCAGGCGAUACGGGCAUAACUUGAGUACUGUAGGGGAGACUGGAAUUCCUGGUGUAGCGGUGAAAUGCGCAGGUAUCAGGAGGAGCACCGGUGGCGAAGGCGGGUCUCUGGGAAGUAACUGACGCGGAGGAGCGAAAGCAUGGGUAGCGAACAGGAUUAGAUACCCUGGUAGUCCAUGCCGUAAACGGUGGGCGCUAGGUGUAGGGGUCUUCCACGACUUCUGUGCCGUAGCUAACGCAUUAAGCGCCCCGCCUGGGGAGUACGGCCGCAAGGCUAAAACUCAAAUGAAUUGACGGGG
Molecule: ribosomal RNA, 398 nt
Filed under: uncultured bacterium
Lineage: Bacteria
Description: partial 16S ribosomal RNA
Rfam family: Bacterial small subunit ribosomal RNA
Source: RNAcentral